GAGUAAUAUUUUGUACAUACAAGUUAGGUUUUAAUUCUAUUUUAGCUAUAGUUUUAUACACAUUCUAUUUCAUAUUUGAAUUAAGUAGUACAGAGUUUAUUUACCUGUCUUACUUUUGCCAUAUAAUUGUAUUUCAGUUUAAACAUUAAUACCACAGCUUAUCUGUUUCAUUCAGUCUAUUAUUUAUCCAGCCUUGACUAACCAUACCACUGCAUGCUUUUCACCCACAGCACUUAGUAUCCCGUCCCGCGCAUAGAGUACUCUAUUGUUCUCUGUGGUCACUCACAGCUGACCACAGGUAUACCUUUGUUUGCUUGUGAUCUGAGGCAGUUGCCAGAUUACACUUGACAUAUGUACUCCAUAGUCAUUUUGUAUAUAUUUUGAAUGGAUCUUGUAUUCAUGGAUCGAAUAGAUGUGAUUAUUUCAUGGAUUUGAAGGUUAGUCAUAGUAUAUUUCUUGUAUGAUACUUUAUAUGUAUUUGUGUAUUUCUAAUUCUUAAAGUUAGAAAUAAGUUGUGCUUGGUUCAUUGCUAAUCAGGUUGUGUAUUGAAUCCACAGUUAGUGUAUUCUGAUCAUGAUUAUUUUAUAUGAUAAAGUAUUAUAAAGCAGUUUCUUUAAUUGAUAAAUAGCUAAUAUAUCCUAGGCUAUUAUCAUUUUAACUUGAACAUUAACUAAAUAAAACUAAACCCUAAAUAAACUGUAGUAAUUCUAUACCUCAUAUCACAUUAAGGUAAUUGUGUUAAUUGUGUAUAAGAAUGUAUGCGUAUGUGUGAAAGUGCAUUAUUUAAGUAAUUUGAUCAAUCCUUAUUUUAAAUACCUAUUUUACUUACGUGUUGUGUAUAAUUAAAGUGUAAAUAGUAUCUGCAUUAGUUUAUACCUUGUCAAUGCAGAUGUAACUGGCACUAUCUUAGAAGCUUUGGUGACACGGCACAGGUUUCACCAGUCUGGCCGUAUUUAUUCACCAUUCUCUUCUAAGAGAAUAAACAGCCAUCAGCUCACA
Haliotis rufescens (red abalone) is the source of this 999-nucleotide long non-coding RNA. RefSeq lists it as uncharacterized. Lineage: Eukaryota; Metazoa; Mollusca; Gastropoda; Lepetellida; Haliotidae. The record is from RefSeq and is a predicted model, not a curated record. The transcript is spliced from 2 exons.